RNAcentral lists this ribosomal RNA (467 nucleotides) under uncultured bacterium. RNAcentral's name for it is "partial 16S ribosomal RNA". It matches the Rfam family "Bacterial small subunit ribosomal RNA", at positions 28 to 506 of the family's 1533-position model. The record is from RNAcentral.
GACGAACGCUGGCGGCGUGCUUAACACAUGCAAGUCGAACGGAAAGGCCCUGCUUUUGUGGGGUGCUCGAGUGGCGAACGGGUGAGUAACACGUGAGUAACCUGCCCUUGACUUUGGGAUAACUUCAGGAAACUGGGGCUAAUACCGGAUAGGAGCUCCUGCUGCAUGGUGGGGGUUGGAAAGUUUCGGCGGUUGGGGAUGGACUCGCGGCUUAUCAGCUUGUUGGUAGGGUAGUGGCUUACCAAGGCUUUGACGGGUAGCCGGCCUGAGAGGGUGACCGGCCACAUUGGGACUGAGAUACGGCCCAGACUCCUACGGGAGGCAGCAGUGGGGAAUAUUGCACAAUGGGCGGAAGCCUGAUGCAGCAACGCCGCGUGCGGGAUGACGGCCUUCGGGUUGUAAACCGCUUUCGCCUGUGACGAAGCGUGAGUGACGGUAAUGGGUAAAGAAGCACCGGCGAACUACGU